UUUCGCAAUGCCCGAAAGGGUGACGAAGCGACGCCGCGUGUGGGAAGAAGGCCUUCGGGUUGUAAACCACUGUUGGGAGUUAGGAAGUGUGGAGGUGUUAAUAGCGCUUUCACUUGACUAAAGCUCCAGAGGAAGCCACGGCUAACUCUGUGCCAGCAGCCGCGGUAAUACAGAGGCGGCAAGCGUUGUUCGGAAUUAUUGGGCGUAAAGAGCACGUAGGCGGCUCUGCAAGUCAGCUGUGAAAGCCUUCUGCUUAACGGAAGAACGGCAGUUGAGACUACAGGGCUUGAGUACGGGAGGGGAGAGUGGAACUUCUGGUGGAGCGGUGAAAUGCGUAGAUAUCAGAAGGAACGCCGGCGGCGAAAGCGACUCUCUGGCCCGUAACUGACGCUGAGUGUGCGAAAGCUAGGGGAGCAAACGGGAUUAGAUACCCCGGUAGUCCUAGCCGUAAACGAUGGGCACUAAGUAGAGGGGUUUU
This 478-nucleotide ribosomal RNA is filed under the name uncultured Planctomycetales bacterium. Its description in RNAcentral is "bacterial SSU rRNA". It matches the Rfam family "Bacterial small subunit ribosomal RNA", at positions 364 to 832 of the family's 1533-position model. Lineage: Bacteria; Pseudomonadati; Planctomycetota; Planctomycetia; Planctomycetales. The record is from RNAcentral.